UGGCUGUAAUGGUCUAAGGGGGACGACUCUUGCAAUUCUCAAUUUCCUUUGCUCCAUGUCCGGCCUUGUGUUGGGUCAAUACGUCGCCCAGUGCGAACGCCGCGGUGGCCGCCCACUCGCACGGGUAACCUGUGAUGCUGGUAAUUUGUGGCCCUAAGCAAUCGGGGAUGAUACUUCAGGGAGGCUUCACUCUGCAGAGACAUCCUCACCGUCGCGUGGCGGACUGGAUUACGAUCGUACUUGAGUUGGAACGGGGUUUGAGAUGAGGAAGUCAACUUCCAUUU
This 284-nucleotide signal recognition particle RNA is filed under the name Grosmannia clavigera kw1407. RNAcentral describes it as "Fungal signal recognition particle RNA". It matches the Rfam family "Fungal signal recognition particle RNA". The record is from Rfam by way of RNAcentral. Lineage: Eukaryota; Fungi; Ascomycota; Sordariomycetes; Ophiostomatales; Ophiostomataceae.